RNAcentral lists this non-coding RNA (596 nucleotides) under unclassified sequences. Its description in RNAcentral is "ROOL RNA". It matches the Rfam family "ROOL RNA". Rfam says of the family: Firmicutes, Fusobacteria (1 example), Tenericutes (1 example). The record is from Rfam by way of RNAcentral.
AGCUUGAUUAUAACAAUAAGGCACCUCGGUGAAGACACAAGACCAUGUGGCCGAGACAUUACCUUCGCUUUCGAGCGUACUACGCAUUUCUACUCAGAGGGAUACCUUUGUUUAGAUGUGCUUCGGAGAGUCGUGAGAUUUUCUGAUUGCGGGAGGCUGAACCAACCGCUGUUAGAGGUAAUGGUGCUGAAGUAAUUGCUGAUAAAAACAUUGUCUCAUUGCUAUCGCAAUAGAAAGCUAGGCGUCAAAAGCGUAAGCCGAAUCCAAGUAAGGGUGUAGAUUGGUCGUCUAUACUAAACCUUGGAAAAGACCAAUAAGGUAGUUUGCUGUGAUGGUAUGGAAACAUACCUAUAAGAUGAGGUCAAAGUCCGAGUAGCUACAAGCAAGGACUCUUGUAAAAAAGAAAUUACUAAGGAAAUUUCUGAAUGGUUAGUGAAAGGUGCGAGUAACCAAUCUCGUAUAGGAAUUGAUACUUUGUAUCGGGGCAAGAACUUAUAGAGCGACGGCUCUAUGGGUCAGACUUGUCUCCCUAUUGGUUGAAUAUAUCAGAAAAUUAUGGAGGUAGGGUGAAGGCCCGCCUUGUAGUUAUAAUCAAG